UGGUGAUCAAAAAGAGAAUACAUGAGUGUGUGGAAAAGUGAAGAAUGAGUAGUUAGGUUAGCAUUUAAAUUGUAUAAGUUGCUAUAUAGGUUAGGUGGGAAGCUUAGGUUAAUCAAUGAUUCAAAUUUCAAGCUCACUUGACCAUAUGCAUCCUACCUUGCCCUAGUCCCAUUACAACCUUUGGAUAAGUCGUCAUGAUAUUUGUAUGCAUGCAUGAAAUAAUUUUUUAUUGUUAGAUGAAAAACAAAUCUUGGAGAGAAUGAUUAGCGGGAAAUUGAGUGAAUUAACCCCAUAAACUUGAGUGACUAGAGCGGAUAUACAUCCGGUGAGGGUUCGGCUGCUCAAUUACACGUUUUCACCUAUGAUAAUCUUUUCUUGCAAGUUUGUAAAUUGUUUUCAAUAACUCAAUUCAAUUGUGGGGUUGCUUUGAUUGCUAUUGCUUUAGCCUUUGUGUUCAUAUAUGCUUUCUUGGGAAUUAAUUUAUUUUGACUAAGUAAUUGCAUUCAUUUAGAUAGAUUACAUAUAGGUAGAUUGCAUGUAGGUAGUUUGCAUUGAAUAAAUAUUGAUACCCUUUGUUUCUUUCUUGAGUUUAGCAUGAGGACAUGCUUGGUUUAAGUGUGGGGAGAUUUGAUAAACCCCAAUUUUGUGGUUUAUCUUGUGCUUAAUUUAGGGAAUUUUAUCACUUUUUCUCAUAUUUAUUCAAUGAAAUAGCAUGAUUUUGUAAUUCUCCCUUAAUUUGUGCUUAAGUGUAAAAAUAUGCUUUUAGGCCCUUAAAUUGGUGAUUUUAAUUCACUUUAAUUCCAUUUGAUGCCUUGAUGUGCUUGUUGAGUGAUUUCAGGUUCAUAAGGCAAGUAUUGGGUGGAAGAAGUGAAGAGAAAAGCAUGCAAAGUGGAGAAUUCAUGAAGAAAUGAGCAUUUGGAGAACUAAGGGCCACGCACACGUGUCAUCCACGCGUACGCGUGCGUUGAAGAUUUUCAAGCCACGCGCACACGUCACCCACGCGUACACGUGAGAAAGAGUUUUGGCCAGCGACGCGCACGCGUCAUCCACGCGCAUGCGUAACGCUCGGCACGUGACUCACUUAAAGUGAAUUCACUGGGGGCAAUUUCUGAGCUUCCCAGGCCCAAAUCCAACUCAUUCCUAAGGUUAUUUCAUGCAGAAUUCAAGCUUGGACAAAUGGAGAGCAAUUAGUUGUAGAUUAGAAAGCAUGUAGUUAGUUUCUAGAGAGAGAAGCUCCCUCUUCUCUCUAGAAUUAGAUUAGGAUUAGGUCAAAUUCUCCUAGAUCUAGGUUUAAUUCCUUAUUGUUACAUCUAUGUUCCCUUAGUUUCUCUUGUUAAUUUCUCUUUGUAUGCCUUUUUUAUGUUGAUGCAAUAUUGUUGAAUUUUGAUUUCCUUUUAAUGCAAU
This 1404-nucleotide long non-coding RNA is filed under the name Arachis ipaensis. RNAcentral describes it as "long non-coding RNA (AIPA_LNC000119)". Lineage: Eukaryota; Viridiplantae; Streptophyta; Magnoliopsida; Fabales; Fabaceae. The record is from RNAcentral.